GUACCGUAUUUUCCAUGGGGAGUGCUGU
RNAcentral lists this small RNA (28 nucleotides) under Bombyx mori (domestic silkworm). Its description in RNAcentral is "ovarian small RNA-17631". The record is from RNAcentral. Lineage: Eukaryota; Metazoa; Arthropoda; Insecta; Lepidoptera; Bombycidae.